RNAcentral lists this ribosomal RNA (253 nucleotides) under uncultured bacterium. RNAcentral describes it as "partial 16S ribosomal RNA". It matches the Rfam family "Bacterial small subunit ribosomal RNA", at positions 524 to 776 of the family's 1533-position model. The record is from RNAcentral.
UACGAAGGGACCUAGCGUAGUUCGGAAUUACUGGGCGUAAAGCGCGCGUAGGUGGUUUGAUAAGCUAGCUGUGAAAGCCCCGAGCUCAACCUGGGAACUGCAUCCGAUACUGGAUAACUAGAAUGCGGGAGAGGGAGGUAGAAUUCCAUGUGUAGCAGUGAAAUGCGUAGAUAUAUGGAGGAAUACCAGUGGCGAAGGCGGCCUCCUGGCUCGACAUUGACGCUGAGGUGCGAAAGCGUGGGGAGCAAACGGG